GGGUAUUUUUUCUACAGAGUAUCUUGUGAUUAAGUAGAUUAUCAUGUAGAUUUAUUGACGCGUGCUUGAUAAUUUCUGAUCAUGAUAUUUGCUGGAUACAAUAAAGCUAUCAGAAUUUUUGAGGUUCAUCGCCCAGGGAGAGAUUUUGAACAACACUCGACUGUUUUAGGAAACAAAGAAGGCCAAUCAGGUAUUAUAUCUUCUAUUGCUUUUUCCCCCACUUCUUCUGGUAUGCUGGCUGUGGGCUCCUACAACCAGACUACUGCUAUAUACAGAGAAGACAAUAUGGAACUGCUGUAUGUGUUGCAUGGCCAAGAAGGUGGGGUU
This is a long non-coding RNA of Salvia miltiorrhiza (redroot sage), 327 nucleotides long. RefSeq lists it as uncharacterized. The transcript is spliced from 3 exons. NCBI's taxonomy places the organism in Eukaryota, Viridiplantae, Streptophyta, Magnoliopsida, Lamiales, Lamiaceae. The record is from RefSeq and is a predicted model, not a curated record.